RNAcentral lists this ribosomal RNA (427 nucleotides) under uncultured bacterium. Its description in RNAcentral is "bacterial SSU rRNA". It matches the Rfam family "Bacterial small subunit ribosomal RNA", at positions 355 to 774 of the family's 1533-position model. The record is from RNAcentral.
UGGGGAAUUUUGGACAAUGGGCGCAAGCCUGAUCCAGCAAUGCCGCGUGCAGGAUGAAGGCCUUCGGGUUGUAAACUGUUUUUGUACGGAGCGAAAAGGUCUGCCCUAAUACGGUGGGCUCAUGACGGUACCGUAAGAAUAAGCACCGGCUAACUACGUGCCAGCAGCCGCGGUAAUACGUAGGGUGCAAGCGUUAAUCGGAAUUACUGGGCGUAAAGCGUGCGCAGGCGGUUAUGCAAGACAGAGGUGAAAUCCCCGGGCUCAACCUGGGACCUGCAUUUGUGACUGUAUAGCUAGAGUACGGUAGAGGGGGAUGGAAUUCCGCGUGUAGCAGUGAAAUGCGUAGAUAUGCGGAGGAACACCGAUGGCGAAGGCAAUCCCCUGGACCUGUACUGACGCUCAUGCACGAAAGCGUGGGGAGCAAACA